RNAcentral lists this non-coding RNA (23 nucleotides) under Cricetulus griseus (Chinese hamster). Lineage: Eukaryota; Metazoa; Chordata; Mammalia; Rodentia; Cricetidae. The record is from RNAcentral.
UUAUAUUCCCCUAGCAUAUAAGC